RNAcentral lists this ribosomal RNA (467 nucleotides) under uncultured Sphingobacteriales bacterium. RNAcentral describes it as "bacterial SSU rRNA". It matches the Rfam family "Bacterial small subunit ribosomal RNA", at positions 9 to 522 of the family's 1533-position model. RNAcentral also lists the same sequence under 1 other name. The record is from RNAcentral. Lineage: Bacteria; Pseudomonadati; Bacteroidota; Sphingobacteriia; Sphingobacteriales.
GAGUUUGAUCCUGGCUCAGAACGAACGCUGGCGGCAUGCCUAACACAUGCAAGUCGAACGAAGGCUUCGGCCUUAGUGGCGCACGGGUGCGUAACGCGUGGGAAUCUGCCCUUGGGUUCGGAAUAACAGUUAGAAAUGACUGCUAAUACCGGAUGAUGACGAAAGUCCAAAGAUUUAUCGCCCAGGGAUGAGCCCGCGUAGGAUUAGGUAGUUGGUGGGGUAAAGGCUCACCAAGCCGACGAUCCUUAGCUGGUCUGAGAGGAUGAUCAGCCACACUGGGACUGAGACACGGCCCAGACUCCUACGGGAGGCAGCAGUGGGGAAUAUUGGACAAUGGGCGCAAGCCUGAUCCAGCAAUGCCGCGUGAGUGAUGAAGGCCUUAGGGUCGUAAAGCUCUUUUACCAGGGAUGAUAAUGACAGUACCUGGAGAAUAAGCUCCGGCUAACUCCGUGCCAGCAGCCGCGGUA